Molecule: transfer RNA, 72 nt
Filed under: Candidatus Uhrbacteria bacterium
Lineage: Bacteria; Candidatus Uhriibacteriota
Description: tRNA-Met
Rfam family: tRNA
About the family: Transfer RNA (tRNA) molecules are approximately 80 nucleotides in length. Their secondary structure includes four short double-helical elements and three loops (D, anti-codon, and T loops). Further hydrogen bonds mediate the characteristic L-shaped molecular structure. tRNAs have two regions of fundamental functional importance: the anti-codon, which is responsible for specific mRNA codon recognition, and the 3' end, to which the tRNAs corresponding amino acid is attached (by aminoacyl-tRNA synthetases). tRNAs cope with the degeneracy of the genetic code in two manners: having more than one tRNA (with a specific anti-codon) for a particular amino acid; and 'wobble' base-pairing, i.e. permitting non-standard base-pairing at the 3rd anti-codon position.
Source: RNAcentral
GCCGGGGUAGCUCAAUGGUAGAGCAGCGGGAUCAUAAUCCGCUUGUUGCGAGUUCAAUUCUCGCCCCCGGUA